GAGGGGAUAGCUCAGUGGUAGAGCACAUGCUUAGCAUGCACAGGGUCCUGGGUUCAAUCCCCAGUACUUUCA
This is a transfer RNA of Camelus ferus (Wild Bactrian camel), 72 nucleotides long. It matches the Rfam family "tRNA". From Rfam's summary of the family: Transfer RNA (tRNA) molecules are approximately 80 nucleotides in length. Lineage: Eukaryota; Metazoa; Chordata; Mammalia; Artiodactyla; Camelidae. The record is from Rfam.